Molecule: long non-coding RNA, 3833 nt
Filed under: Sus scrofa (pig)
Lineage: Eukaryota; Metazoa; Chordata; Mammalia; Artiodactyla; Suidae
Description: lncRNA (ENSSSCG00015028962.1)
Source: RNAcentral
UUUUUUUUUUUGCUUUUUAGGGCCAUACCUGCAGCAUAUGAAAGUUCCCAGGCUAGGGGUCAAAUCCGAGCUGCAACUGCUAGGCUAUGUCACAGCCACAGGAACACCAGAUCCAAGCAGCAUCUUCAAUGUACACCACAGUUUGUGCCAAUGCUGGACCAAGUGAGUCCAGGGAUCGAACCUACAUCCUCAUGGAUACUAGUUGGGUUCUUAACCCACUGAGCCACAAUGGGAACUCCUAGUGUAGUUUUGACAAUUGAUUCUGUUUGUCAGUGGAGUGAAUACAGAAGCUGAGAAGAGUGGCUCCAACCCUCCUCUUGAAGAUUUGUAAAUUAACCACCAAUUCCAAAGUUUUGUGGAUGCUUACUGACCAUGAGUGUCUCAUAGCCUAUUUCUAUCAAAUACCAGCAGGAAAAAUUAUUUGUACCUUAUUGUUCAUAAUUUUUCACCCCUUUAUGAAAGAAAAUAGGAAAUAAUUGGAUAUUUUGAGGAAAUAAGAAGCCAAGUCUUGAAAAGAGAUUAGUCAAAAGUAUUUAUGAUCUGGAUGCUAAAGGUGCUGAAAGGGGCGGUGGGGGGGGGGCAGAGGAAGCAGAGACUGUCCCCUCUAGAAGGCAAGGGUGGGAUGAGGCCAGCUCCAGAGUCUGGCUGUCCAGCAAACAGUCAUUUUCAGGGAUGAGCUUGACCUCCCCCUAUGAAGCCAACUCACACAAGCAUGGGAGGCAACAGCCCACUUUUCACAGGCUGGAUCCCUGCUGGAUAACUGGCCAUCCAAAUGGUGGACCGUGAGCCCCAGUGGGCCACAUGUCCCUGCCUUUAGCCUGCUCUCACCAGCAAGGCCCUGAUCCAGGUCAGGCAUCCUCAGAGGUUCCAAGAGGAGGAACUUAAUUGCAGGAAGCAAGAAUAAUAAGGAAGUCUGUUCUGUAAUUGUUAGCCUUCUGGCUUAGCUGGUUUUCCUCCAGCAAUGCAUAAUAAUAAAUCUUUACAUUUAUAGAGCACUUUAUAGCGCUCGAAAUACUUUCAUAAACAUUAUUUCCCUUUGGUGAAGGAAUCUCCUGCUACUUGGGAUAUUUUUUUUUUCCUCUCAGAUGCUUUGUUUCCACUCCUUUAGAAGCUUCUGUGUCAUUCACUCCCUGAUGUAAAAAACACAGACCACAACAAUGUUAAGGGUCACCUCCAAAGCAUGAGGAGAAAACCUGGGACUUUUAAAAAGCUAAUCAUUUGGUUACUUUGCACUUUAGUUAGCUAAUUUCAAGCUAAAUCUAACUUGGUGGGUGCCCGGUUCACGCUGCAUGAUGCCCCCAUGGGUGUGUGGGGAACACCCGCUCCUCCUGCGCUCAGGGCAGCUCUCUGUCAAGUUCAGAAACAUGCCCUGAGACUAGAGGCAAACCCAACACCACACACCCCCUGGGAGACAUGACUAAUCAAUCACCACCUUCUUUCUCCUGAGACCUGACCUCAAGACUGCACCCCAAACAGGCAUUAUCAGUUGAUGUCACUCCGCAGAAGCAAGAGAAAGCUAUUUGCCCUUCCUUAUUCUCAGGCUGCUGGGGGGUGGGCCCAGCAGUGUCCUGGACACUCUACUUAAGUUACUCCCUGGGAUUCUUCUCUCAUUCCCUGGGAUGUGGUUCAAGGGUUCCUGCCUACAUCCCCAAGACAUCUGUAGCAUCGUGGGGAUCCUGCUUUGCCCUCGACAGAACCCCAGUGCCAGCUGGUCUCACUCCUUCCUCAGGUCCAGUCCCCUCUUUCGCAGCUAAAACCCAACUCAUCCAUUCUCUCUUUCUGCAUCUCCCUAGUAUGACCACAUCUCCAACACCUUUCUCAUCAUGAGGGAAGAUUUUUAAAAGAUGUCCGUCUUCAGACACAAUGAUUUACAUCUUGCUAGGAUAUUUCCAUGUCUUUAGCACAAUAGCUACAUAUUUAUGACAUGAUGUGGGGUAAGGGAGUGGUGCUUCCCAAUGGGAGGAACCACAGAGAGAGACUAAGGGCAGGUAAAGACAGCAGCAAGGGAGUUCCCAUCUUGGCUCAGCAGAAACGAAUCUGUCUAGGAACCAUGAGGUUGCAGGUUCAAUCCCUGGCCUCGCUCAUGGGUUAAGGAUCCAGCCUUGUCACUGUUGUGGCUCUGGUCACUGCUGUGGCACAGGUUCGAUCCCUGGCCCAGGUACUUCUGCAUGCUGCAGGUGGGGCCAGAAAAAAAUAAAAUAAACACCGUGGACUAGGUGACUUAAACAACAGACAUUUAUUUCUUACAGAGGCUAGGAAGUCCAAGAUUAACCAGCCAGCAGAUUCAGUUCUUGGUGAGGGCCCUCAUCCUGGCUUGUAAACACCUUCCUUCUGUGUGAGCUCAUACAGCCUUUCCUUGGUAUGGGCAUAGGGGAGAUCGAGCUCCUUCCUGCCCCUUUCUCUUAUAAGGGCACAAAAUCUCUCUUAGGUAAAUACAAGGGCAGGACCCCCAUCACGGAGCCCCACCCCCAUGACCUCAUCUCAAUCUAUUACCUUCCAGAGGUCCCACCUCCAAAUACCAUCACCUGGGAGCUUAGGGGCAGGCGAGGGGCAAAAACAUUCAGCCCCUAACAUUCCCGGAAUAACAUUUUUAACAUCUUUUCAUUCGACUUCUUGAAAAUGGAAUUCAUGCCUUCUCAAAGCAGCUCUCUCUACUGCCCACUGGGUCUAAGUUCCACCACGUUCUAAAGUCUCAGCAUUUGUGUCUCGUCUCCAAAAUACUCAUUUACAUCUGUCCUUUUUCAAAAUAAAUGUCCUUCUGUCUUCUUCGUCUGUGGGUGUGGGCUCCCAGGCAAGAAUCCUGACUUUUUGCAGCAGAGUAAGUAAAGAGGGGGGAGGAGGGGAAGGAGAAUAAAACAGGAGACUUUGGUUUCCUUCCUCCUGCCCACUGCCCUCCACACACUGCCAGCAUCAUCUAUUAUGGAUAAAGCCCAGCCGAUGGGGCUCUCGUGUCUUCAGGGAAGACAGAAGGCCACAGAAAUGGAGACUUCCCUGCUUCCUGGUCCCCGGCUGCACAGAGACCACUAUGGGAAAGCACUCUGUGCUCAGGGAUGAGCAUGAGUCUGGAACUUUAUCAUCACCUCCAUUCUUCCAGGUAGCCCAUUCUCAAAUGGCAAAAGCCAGGAGAUUCUACACCAACUGCUUCCGGUGUUUUUCUAAGCAAGUUUUUGUCAUUAUUACAUAAGCAUCACAUUCAGAAACGUAUGCAAACCCAUGAAUUUUCACAGUGAACCAUGUAAACACCAGUCAGAUAAAAAUUACCAGUACUCCAGGGCCCCAACCAGCCACCCAAACCUCCUUAAUACCAAAGGUAACUGCUAGCUUAACUUAUAAAAUCAUAAACGAAUUUCCUUGUACUUGAACUUAUAAAUUACAGGAGGUGAUCUCCUGUGUCUUCUUUUACUUCUACCACUCAAUUAUAUGACUGAGAUUCAUCUAUGUUGUUUCCUGGAUAAAACAGCAUCUUUUCAGGGCUGUUUAGUAUUCUAUUACAUGCAUAUAAGAUAGUUAUCCAUUCCAUUUUUUAUAAACUUUGCAUUUUCUUAGUUUUGUUUGGCUAUCACACAGAUUGCUACUGUGGACAUUUACAUGGAUGGAUGGAUGGAGAGAUGAUAAAGGGAUAUACACACACAUAUAUACACAUAUGCAUGUAUGUGUAUGUAUAUAAAUGUGUAUGUCUGUGUAUAUCUGUAUAUCUUUGGGGGUGGAUAUGUAAUACAUAUCUGUUGAGUUUCUAUUUAGGAGUGGAAUUACUGGAUCAUGGAGCAUGCUGAUAUUCAGCUUUGCAGCUGAAGAGUACUGAAAAGUAAGUAUGUGAGUACUCCUUUGAUUCC